UAGGGGAGCCGGAGGGAAACCGAGUCUUAAUUGGGCGUUAAGUUGCAGGGUAUAGACCCGAAACCCGGUGAUCUAGCCAUGGGCAGGUUGAAGGUUGGGUAACACUAACUGGAGGACCGAACCGACUAAUGUUGAAAAAUUAGCGGAUGACCUGUGGCUGGGGGUGAAAGGCCAAUCAAACCGGGAGAUAGCUGGUUCUCCCCGAAAGCUAUUUAGGUAGCGCCUCGUGAAUUCAUCUCCGGGGGUAGAGCACUGUUUCGGCUAGGGGGCCAUCCCGGCUUACCAACCCGAUGCAAACUGCGAAUACCGGAGAAUGUUAUCACGGGAGACACACGGCGGGUGCUAACGUCCGUCGUGAAGAGGGAAACAACCCAGACCGCCAGCUAAGGUCCCAAAGUCAUGGUUAAGUGGGAAACGAUGUGGGAAGGCCCAGACAGCCAGGAUGUUGGCUUAGAAGCAGCCAUCAUUUAAAGAAAGCGUAAUAGCUCACUGGUCGAGUCGGCCUGCGCGGAAGAUGUAACGGGGCUAAACCAUGCACCGAAGCUGCGGCAGCGAACGUAUCACCCAAGACAACUUUACGGAGUUGACGAUUGACGGAGCGAAGCGACGUCAAAGCGUUCAUUAAAGUCGAGUUGGCUUAGGGAUACGUUCGUUGGGUAGGGGAGCGUUCUGUAAGCCUGUGAAGGUGUGUCGUGAGGCAUGCUGGAGGUAUCAGAAGUGCGAAUGCUGACAUAAGUAACGAUAAAGCGGGUGAAAAGCCCGCUCGCCGGAAGACCAAGGGUUCCUGUCCAACGUUAAUCGGGGCAGGGUGAGUCGACCCCUAAGGCGAGGCCGAAAGGCGUAGUCGAUGGGAAACGGGUUAAUAUUCCCGUACUUGGUGUUACUGCGAAGGGGGGACGGAGAAGGCUAUGUUGGCCGGGCGACGGUUGUCCCGGUUUAAGCGUGUAGGUGUGUGUUCCAGGUAAAUCCGGUUCACUUUAACACUGAGGCGUGACGACGAGGCACUACGGUGCUGAAGCAACAAAUGCCCUGCUUCCAGGAAAAGCCUCUAAGCAUCAGGUAACAUCAAAUCGUACCCCAAACCGACACAGGUGGUCAGGUAGAGAAUACCAAGGCGCUUGAGAGAACUCGGGUGAAGGAACUAGGCAAAAUGGUGCCGUAACUUCGGGAGAAGGCACGCUGACACGUAGGUGAAGUGAUUUACUCAUGGAGCUGAAGUCAGUCGAAGAUACCAGCUGGCUGCAACUGUUUAUUAAAAACACAGCACUGUGCAAACACGAAAGUGGACGUAUACGGUGUGACGCCUGCCCGGUGCCGGAAGGUUAAUUGAUGGGGUCAGCGCAAGCGAAGCUCCUGAUCGAAGCCCCGGUAAACGGCGGCCGUAACUAUAACGGUCCUAAGGUAGCGAAAUUCCUUGUCGGGUAAGUUCCGACCUGCACGAAUGGCGUAAUGAUGGCCAGGCUGUCUCCACCCGAGACUCAGUGAAAUUGAACUCGCUGUGAAGAUGCAGUGUACCCGCGGCAAGACGGAAAGACCCCGUGAACCUUUACUAUAGCUUGACACUGAACAUUGAGCCUUGAUGUGUAGGAUAGGUGGGAGGCUUUGAAGUGUGGACGCCAGUCUGCAUGGAGCCGACCUUGAAAUACCACCCUUUAAUGUUUGAUGUUCUAACGUGGACCCGUAAUCCGGGUUGCGGACAGUGUCUGGUGGGUAGUUUGACUGGGGCGGUCUCCUCCUAAAGAGUAACGGAGGAGCACGAAGGUUGGCUAAUCCUGGUCGGACAUCAGGAGGUUAGUGCAAUGGCAUAAGCCAGCUUGACUGCGAGCGUGACGGCGCGAGCAGGUGCGAAAGCAGGUCAUAGUGAUCCGGUGGUUCUGAAUGGAAGGGCCAUCGCUCAACGGAUAAAAGGUACUCCGGGGAUAACAGGCUGAUACCGCCCAAGAGUUCAUAUCGACGGCGGUGUUUGGCACCUCGAUGUCGGCUCAUCACAUCCUGGGGCUGAAGUAGGUCCCAAGGGUAUGGCUGUUCGCCAUUUAAAGUGGUACGCGAGCUGGGUUUAGAACGUCGUGAGACAGUUCGGUCCCUAUCUGCCGUGGGCGCUGGAGAACUGAGGGGGGCUGCUCCUAGUACGAGAGGACCGGAGUGGACGCAUCACUGGUGUUCGGGUUGUCAUGCCAAUGGCACUGCCCGGUAGCUAAAUGCGGAAGAGAUAAGUGCUGAAAGCAUCUAAGCACGAAACUUGCCCCGAGAUGAGUUCUCCCUGAGACUUAGAGUCUCCUGAAGGAACGUUGAAGACGACGACGUUGAUAGGCCGGGUGUGUAAGCGCAGCGAUGCGUUGAGCUAACCGGUACUAAUGAACCGUGAGGCUUAACCUUACAACGCCGAAG
RNAcentral lists this ribosomal RNA (2388 nucleotides) under Salmonella enterica subsp. enterica serovar Enteritidis. RNAcentral's name for it is "bacterial LSU rRNA". It matches the Rfam family "Bacterial large subunit ribosomal RNA", at positions 658 to 2925 of the family's 2925-position model. RNAcentral also lists the same sequence under 1 other name. Lineage: Bacteria; Pseudomonadati; Pseudomonadota; Gammaproteobacteria; Enterobacterales; Enterobacteriaceae. The record is from RNAcentral.